GUAGACGCUACGGACUUUCCGUCGACUUUAGAAAUCGUGAGGGUUCAAGUCCCUCUAUCCCCA
Molecule: transfer RNA, 63 nt
Filed under: Halfordia kendack
Lineage: Eukaryota; Viridiplantae; Streptophyta; Magnoliopsida; Sapindales; Rutaceae
Also listed under: 1 other name
Description: partial tRNA-Leu
Source: RNAcentral